AUUGAACGCUGGCGGCAUGCCUAACACAUGCAAGUCGAGCGAGCGGCGGACGGGUGAGUAAUGUAUGGGGAACUGCCCGAUAGAGGGGGAAAACUACUGGAAACGGAGGCUAAUACCGGCUACUAGCGGAUGAACCCAUAUGGGAUUAGCUAGGAGGUGGGGUAAAGGCUCACCUAGGCCUCGAUCCCUAGCUGGCCUGAGAGGAUGAUCAGCCACACUGGGACUGAGACACGGCCCAAACUCCUACGGGAGGCAGCAGUGGGGAAUCUUCCGCAAUGGGCGCAAGCCUGAUGCAGCCAUGCCGCGUGUAUGAAGAAGGCCUUCGGGUUGUAAAGUACUUUCAGCGGAGAGGCGUUACCCGCACAGGAAGCAACGGCUAACUCCGUGCCAGCAGCCGCGGUAAUAC
This 406-nucleotide ribosomal RNA is filed under the name uncultured bacterium. RNAcentral describes it as "partial 16S ribosomal RNA". It matches the Rfam family "Bacterial small subunit ribosomal RNA", at positions 30 to 526 of the family's 1533-position model. The record is from RNAcentral.